This 89-nucleotide transfer RNA is filed under the name Araneus ventricosus. RNAcentral describes it as "tRNA-Met". Lineage: Eukaryota; Metazoa; Arthropoda; Arachnida; Araneae; Araneidae. The record is from RNAcentral.
UGCCCCGGGUGAGGAUCGAACUCACGACCUUCAGAUAACUCUUUUGGUUGAUUAUGAGACUGACGCGCUGCCUACUGCGCUACCGAGGC